UCAGGUUGGAUCCUGCUGGAGUCCGAUGGUUGACACCAGGUCCAUGCAGAUAUUUCUGUGAACUCACCCUGGAUCCAAACACAGCGAACAGACGCCUCAAACUGUCUGAAAACAACAAGAAGGUGGAACAUGUGGAGGGGUUUCUGUCACAUCCUGAUCAUCCGGACAGAUUUGACUACUGGGUACAGGUGAUGUGCUCAACUGGUCUGACUGGUCGCUGUUACUGGGAGGUCCAGUGGAGUGGAUGGGUUGAAAUAUCUGUGACUUACAGAAGAAUCAGAAGGAAAGGAAAGAGUGAUGACAGUGGGUUUGGAUACAAUGAUCAGUCCUGGAGUCUGCAGCGUUACAGAGGUGGAUACAGUCUCAGGCAUAAAAAGAAAUACACACUCCUCCCUCAGUCUUCCUCCUCCUCCUCCUCUUUCUCCUCCUCCUCCUCCUCCUCCUUCUGGUCCUCCUUCUGGUCCUCCUCUGGUACAGUCUCAGUGUAUGUGGACUGUCCUGCUGGAUCUGUGUCCUUCUAUGAAGUCUGCUCUGACAAACUGAUCCACCUGCACACCUUCAGAACCACAUCCACUGAACCACUGUUUGCAGGAUUUUUACUGGUGACACCAGGAUCCACAGUGUGUUUGU
This is a long non-coding RNA of Sphaeramia orbicularis (orbiculate cardinalfish), 630 nucleotides long. RefSeq lists it as uncharacterized. Lineage: Eukaryota; Metazoa; Chordata; Actinopteri; Kurtiformes; Apogonidae. The transcript has 2 exons. The record is from RefSeq and is a predicted model, not a curated record.